Molecule: ribosomal RNA, 798 nt
Filed under: Triticum aestivum (bread wheat)
Lineage: Eukaryota; Viridiplantae; Streptophyta; Magnoliopsida; Poales; Poaceae
Description: partial small subunit ribosomal RNA
Source: RNAcentral
AUGGAGUUCACCGCAGCGGACAUCUUUCUACUCUCACCUUUUGGCGACAUCUUGAGUUCGCUAAAACAUCUCUCGUUAUCAAGAGAGCCCUGGCCGGACUGCGGUCAGGACGGUUGGGAUGCAGACGACGAAGAAAUUCAAAGCCCACCCACCACCCACUUGGUAGCCACUAUCGACGAUCUAACCGACAUGCUAGAUUACGACUCCGAAGACAUCGACGGUAUGGACGACGAUGCCGGAGACGACCAACAACCAGCGCCGACCGGGCACUGGAAAGCCACCUCAUCAUAUGACAUAUACAUGGUGGAUAUCCCAAAGGAUGGGAAUGGCGAAGGAACAGAGGAGGAUGACCCCUCCAAGAAACAGCCCAAGCACCGGCGUCAGUGGCGCCGCUCUAAAUCCCGCCACAGCAAGAAUGAAGAUUCCGGCACCGGAGAUAAUAAUACACCGGAUAGCGCCGAAGAUAACCCACUCCAGCAAGACCCAGCACAGGAGGAUGGAGACGCCAGCCCUCAUGAGAGAGCGGCAGAAGAAGAGGUAGAGGAUUAUAUGCCUCCCUCUGGAGACGAAGCAAGCCUCGACGACGAUGAAUUCGUCGUGCCUGAGGAUCCCGUCGAACAAGAGCGUUUUAAACGCAGGCUUAUGGCCACGGCAAACAUCCUCAAGAAAAAGCAACAACAGCUUAGAGCUGAUCAAGAUCUGCUAGCCGACAGAUGGACUGAAGUCCUCGCGGCUGAAGAGUAUGAGCUCGAACGCCCCUCCAAAAGCUACCCUAACGCAAGCUGCUCCCCCGAUUAG